Molecule: ribosomal RNA, 497 nt
Filed under: uncultured bacterium
Lineage: Bacteria
Description: partial 16S ribosomal RNA
Rfam family: Bacterial small subunit ribosomal RNA
Source: RNAcentral
GAUGAACGCUGACGGCGUGCCUAAUACAUGCAAGUCGAGCGAACGGGCGAGAAGCUUGCUUCUCUGAUGUUAGCGGCGGACGGGUGAGUAACACGUGGAUAACCUACCUAUAAGACUGGUAUAACUUCGGGAAACCGGAGCUAAUACCGGAUAAUAUUUUGAACCGCAUGGUGCAAAAGUGAAAGACGGUCUUUCUGGCACUUAUAGAUGGAUCCGCGCUGCUUUAGAUGGUUGGUAAGGUAACGGCUUAUCAAGGCUACGAUGCAUAGCCGAACUGAGAGAGUGAUCGGCCACACUGGAACGGAGCCACGGUCAAGGCUACUAAGGGAGGCCGCAGUAGGGAAUCUUCCGCAAUGGGCGAAAGCCUGGCGGAGCAACGCCGCGUGAGUGACGAAGGUCUUCGGUUCGUAAAACUCUCUUAUUAGGGAAGAACAUAUGUGUAAGUAACUGUGCCCAUCUUGACGGUACCUAAUCAGAAAGCCACGGCUAACUACGUG